This 403-nucleotide ribosomal RNA is filed under the name uncultured bacterium. RNAcentral's name for it is "partial 16S ribosomal RNA". It matches the Rfam family "Bacterial small subunit ribosomal RNA", at positions 30 to 526 of the family's 1533-position model. The record is from RNAcentral.
AUUGAACGCUAGCGGGAUGCUUUACACAUGCAAGUCGAACGAGUGGCGGACGGGUGAGUAAUAUAUCGGAAGUGCCCAGUAGCGGGGGAUAACUACUGGAAACGGUAGCUAAUACCGCAUACUAUCGGAUAACCCAUAUGGGAUUAGCUAGUAGGUGAGGUAAUGGCUCACCUAGGCGACGAUCCCUAGCUGGUCUGAGAGGAUGAUCAGCCACACUGGGACUGUGACACGGCCCAGAGUCGUACGGAGGCGGCAGUGGGGAAUAUUGCACAAUGGGCGCAAGCCUGAUGCAGCCAUGCCGCGUGUAUGAAGAAGGCCAUAGGGUUGUAAAGUACUUUCAGUCGGGAGGCGUUGCCGACAGAAGAGGCACCGGCUAACUACGUGCCAGCAGCCGCGGUAAUAC